CCUACGGGAGGCAGCAGUGAGGAAUAUUGGUCAAUGGACGAGAGUCUGAACCAGCCAAGUAGCGUGAAGGAUGACUGCCCUAUGGGUUGUAAACUUCUUUUAUAAAGGAAUAAAACGAGGCACGUGUGCCUGUUUGCAUGUACUUUAUGAAUAAGGAUCGGCUAACUCCGUGCCAGCAGCCGCGGUAAUACGGAGGAUCCGAGCGUUAUCCGGAUUUAUUGGGUUUAAAGGGAGCGUAGAUGGGUUGUUAAGUCAGGUGUGAAAGUUUGGGGCUCAACCGUAAAAUUGCAAUUGAUACUGGCAGUCUUGAGUACAGUUGAGGUAAGCGGAAUUCGUGGUGUAGCGGUGAAAUGCUUAGAUAUCACGAAGAACCCCGAUUGCGAAGGCAGCUUACUAAACUGUGACUGACAUUGAUGCUCGAAAGUGUGGGUAUCAAACAGGAUUAGAUACCCGUGUAGUC
Molecule: ribosomal RNA, 460 nt
Filed under: uncultured bacterium
Lineage: Bacteria
Description: partial 16S ribosomal RNA
Rfam family: Bacterial small subunit ribosomal RNA
Source: RNAcentral